ACUUGAGUAAAUGCAAAGCAGUGAGAUUGCUGGGUCAUACAGAGUACAGGGCCCCCUCUGCUGGGAUCCAGGAACAAGCUAGCAAGGCCUCCAGACAGGGGAUUUCCACUGAUCCUUUGUCACUACUGAGCCCAAAAGUGCACGGGCAGCAAGUUACCAAAUCGCCUUCCACAAGGUCUACAAACCCAUCUGGGACACAUGGCAGGGACCAACACGCUUCUAGACUUCCCAUGUUCCAAGUCCACUUCUGCCGGCAGAAUAGAAACCUCGUCAGUUAUCACAACUCAGUAUCCUUCUAAUUAAAAUAUCUGACCAUGUCCCCAUCAGCCACUUGCCUCAUUUGGGACACCACCAACCAUCCUGCACGGCUGCCCAUGUUUCUGUUUCUCCAGCCCAAGCAUGCAGUUUCAGUAGGUCCUUCAGAGGCUGCCUGAAAGCAUCCCGCCUCCAGAGCCCUGUGGGUUGAAGACCGCUGUGCUCUUUUCUUUCGGCUUCACACGCUGGUUAGUCUUCUGUUUGCUUUGUCAGCACGGUACUUUUCAUUUCCUUCGUGGUGUUUUUAGGAGCUCCUGAAUUUCACAGACAAAUCCAGACCCCUGUGUGGAAAGCCUGCGGUGGUGUUCUCCGUCUUCCCACAGGACUCCCUGCAGCCAGGAAUUCUAGGGGAGCACCUGACGCGAGGUAUACGCCCAGAUGGCCUGAAGUAACUGAAGAAUCACAAAAGAAGUGAAAAUGUCCUGCCCCGCCUUAACUGAUGACAUUCCACCACAAAGGAAGUGUCAAUGGCUGGUCCUUGCCUUAACUGAUGACAUUCCACCGCAAAAGAAGUGAAAAUGGCCGGUCCUUGCCUUAACUGAUGACAUUACACCACAAAAGAAGUGAAAAUGGCCGGUCCUUGCCUUAAGUGAUGGCAUUACCUUGUGAAAGUCCUUUUCCUGGCUCAUUCUGGCUCAAAAUCACCCCCACUGAGCACCUUGUGACCCCCACUCCUGCCCGCCAGGGAACAAUCCCCCUUUGACUGUAAUUUUCCUUUACCUACCCAAAUCUUAUAAAAUGGCCCCACCCCUAUCUCCCUUUGCUGACUCUCUUUUUGGACUCAGCCUGCCUGCAUCCAGGUGAUUAAAAGCUUUUAUUGCUCAC
Molecule: long non-coding RNA, 1140 nt
Filed under: Homo sapiens (human)
Lineage: Eukaryota; Metazoa; Chordata; Mammalia; Primates; Hominidae
Description: PREDICTED lncRNA (TCONS_00012330)
Source: RNAcentral